Megalops atlanticus (tarpon) is the source of this 78-nucleotide non-coding RNA. The record is from the annotation of a GenBank genome assembly. Lineage: Eukaryota; Metazoa; Chordata; Actinopteri; Elopiformes; Megalopidae.
GGCAGUGUAGCAUAGUGGUAUGGUACAGGGCUUGUAACCAAAAGGUUUCCAGUUCGAUUCCCCACUGGGGCACUGCUG